RNAcentral lists this ribosomal RNA (253 nucleotides) under uncultured bacterium. RNAcentral's name for it is "partial 16S ribosomal RNA". It matches the Rfam family "Bacterial small subunit ribosomal RNA", at positions 524 to 776 of the family's 1533-position model. The record is from RNAcentral.
UACGAAGGGAGCUAGCGUUUUUCGGAAUUACUGGGCGUAAAGCGCAUGUAGGCGGCUAAUUAAGUUGGAAGUGAAAUCCCAGGGCUUAACCCUGGAGCUGCUUCCAAAACUGGUGAGCUAGAGAAUGAUAGAGGAUGGCGGAAUUCCUAGUGUAGAGGUGAAAUUCUUAGAUAUUAGGAGGAACAUCGAUGGCGAAGGCAGCCAUCUGGGUCAUUUCUGACGCUGAGAUGCGAAAGCGUGGGGAGCAAACAGG